GUGUAGUGUAGUGAAUCGAAUUUGGACAUGUGCGAGUGGUGUCUGGCGAUUUUUAGUGUUAGAAACUCUCGGUUUAGUUAAAUCAGCUCUUUUUAGAGCUCAAUAGGAUUAGCUAGGUGUGCAAUAUUUAAGAUUUAGUAAAGAAUAGGUGCAAUACUAAGGCAGCAUAGAUAAUUUAAAGGAUAACGAAGAGCCCCAGGGAGAGGGGGGGCAAGAGGAGAGAAGAGAAAGUAUAAGUCUUACGUUAAGAGAGAAUGAGACGCUGAAGAAGACAAUAAGGAGACUGGUGGCAAGACUAAAUGUAGAAAUGAACGAAGAUAGCAAUAAAGGAAAAAGACCGGCGACGGAAGAUACGCUGGAUCAACUGAUGCUAGAUACAACGAACACAGAGAAUGAGAGUGAAGACUGGAAAAUGGUAGAGAGGAAGAAGAAGAAGGCAAGGAAACAAAAUUCAAAGGUAGAGAAGAGCGCGGGAAAGACUUGCAAUACUAUUGGUCAGAAGUCACGUGAAACAGGAGAGGACCAAUCGGAAGAGGAAAUGGAAGUUGAGGGGGAAGGAGACACGCCAGUACCGGCGAGUUGCGAUAAAGGCGCGCAGUUAGUAAAUAGCGAUACAGUGCAACAGAUACGGCGGAUAUCAUGGCAAAGAGAAACGAGAUAAGGAAAAGAGAGGCAUAUGUGAGGGAGGAUGGUAUCCUCAAACACAUCAGUGAGAUCGACGUGUCCAAGACGCUAACAGUGCAAUUAAGAAAAUCAACGAGGAUAAAGGAAAAGAUGGAUACAGCGCGGGAAUAGAAGACCGGGACACGUGCUUCAGAGGCGUUGUUCCGCUAUAUCUAGAUUCAAUCAUAGACUUCUAUAGUUUGCUCACCAAACCCGAGGAUGUUUUAAAAAUUGAAAGAAUGGUGAGAAGAAAAGGAAAUGGAACAAGGAAGAAAAUAAGGUAGAAUUUGAGCCGGUCGACUCUGUGAUAAUUACAUUUAAAGGAAACCAGCCCAGAGAUAAGAUAAGUUUUUUUCAAUGACUUAGCUGUAUUAAGAGUAAGAUCAAACGUGGCCCCUGUGAUGCAGUGUUACAAGUGCUUUAGGUAUGGCCAUAGAAAAGUUCAUUGUAAGAGUGAGGAAUGCUGUAUCAAUUGUGGUGAAAGAGCGCAUGGCCACUGAGAUAAACCAACGAAGUGUCGCAACUGCGGUGAGAGUCACAAAUCCACAGAUAGGAGGUGUGACGUGUACGAGAGAAAUCAGAGGAUCAAGAAAGUGAUGGCUUAUAUCUUAUAUUAAUAAUACUUCAUAUAGAGAAGUGAUCGAAAUUCUAGAGGACAGUGAUGAAGGUCCUACGGAAGUCUACGACAGAUACGAAAAAUCGAAUAAUUGGCCGCUCCUUAGUAAACCAGGACAGAAGACGAGUCAGAGGCAGAAAUCUUCAUAUAGAGACGAAGUGAUUAGCAAAGCAAAUAGUAGAAAAGGAAAAGGAAAGGAAGAAAAAGCAAGGAAUGCUGAUGACACAAGUAGCGAUGACCUGCCAUAUCUUUCCCCUGACAACUUAGGGUUUAUAAGGCAGGAAAGGAAGAGAGAGGAUGGAAGAAGGAAAAUAGAGGCGCCUAGAAUGAGAACUAACUACUACGCACAAUUCAACACAAGGGAAGGAGAAAUUACUAAGGAAAAGAGAGGAAUCGCGCUAGUACAUGACAAGGAAGGAAAUUUAGCCGACAAAGGCCAGGAAGGAUAUUCAAUAGGGAAGGCAUUGAUUACAGAAAAA
Molecule: unclassified non-coding RNA, 1758 nt
Filed under: Pogonomyrmex barbatus (red harvester ant)
Lineage: Eukaryota; Metazoa; Arthropoda; Insecta; Hymenoptera; Formicidae
Description: uncharacterized LOC105434263, transcript variant X1
Source: RNAcentral